Molecule: long non-coding RNA, 1239 nt
Organism: Oncorhynchus tshawytscha (Chinook salmon)
Lineage: Eukaryota; Metazoa; Chordata; Actinopteri; Salmoniformes; Salmonidae
Source: Ensembl
UCUAGAUACUGUAUGUUACCCAGGCUAUGUCUAGAUACUGUAUGUUACCCAGGCUGUGUCUAGAUGUUGUAUAUUACCCAGGCUAUGUCUAGAUACUGUAUGUUACCCAGGCUAUGUCUAGAUACUGUAUGUUACCCAGGCUAUGUCUAGAUGUUGUAUAUUACCCAGGCUGUGUCUAGAUGUUGUAUAUUACCCAGGCUAUGUCUAGAUGUUGUAUGUUACCCAAGCUAUGUCUAGAUGUUGUAUGUUACCCAGGCUAUGUCUAGAUAAUGUAUGCUACGUUUAUCUACUAUCCUGGCUGUCCAUCACAGAGUUCUGUGUAUGUCUGUGUAUUGCCCUAGGUCAUAUCUGUUGCUGGUAGAGCCCAGCGCUGAUCACUCUGCUUUUAAUUAACCAUAUUAACAUGAACACAUUAUCUUUCUCUCUGCUUUUAAUUAACCAUAUUAACAUAAACACUUUAUCUUCCUCUCUCUCUCUCACUCCGUUGCCCUCUCUAUACUCUCUCUCACCCCUCCCUUUUUGUAUUUACCCCUGCAUCCCUCUCCCUGUCUUCCUACAAUAGUGCUGUUAGAUGGCCUCAGGCUAUCCCGACCAGCUGCAUUAAACCUGGACUAAUCAACCAAAUUCUCUCUCUUUCUCUCUCUCUCUCACACACACACACACACACACAGAGAGAGGAUGUAGAGAGGAUUAACAGGGUUGGAACUAGGUCUAAACACAUUCAUGGUGGGUGUUCUGAAUGUGGUGGCUUUCUUGCCUACAGGGAUCUAGAGUUCUAAUGAGCAGUGUAUUUGGUAAGUGCAUGAAGUAGCCAGCCAGUAGAAAAAGCAGACAAGCAAGUAGGAAAAGUAGCCAACCAAGUAGGAAAAGUUGCCAGCCAAGUAGGAGAAGUAGCCAGCCAGGGAAUUAUGUGCUGAGUGCAUGAACGAGCACUGUCUUGGUGGCCUCUUUUGCAGUCUAAUGCCUUGAUUCUAUCCCAAAUACACAGCUAAAAUGUUGAAUAAUUUAACGAGAAGUGGUACUGAGAAGAAAAUAAUCAUAAAAAAUGAAAAUAGAGACAAGAUAGUAAUUACUAACAAUUGAAUACCACGAAAUUGGGGAGAAAAGAGAGUAAAAUUAUUUGUAAAAAUGUUUAAAAAAUUAAAAAAAUUAAUAUAUGAAUUCAGUUUUUUAGAUGUUUUAAUAUCAUCUAGGCCUAUAUGAUCAAUAAGUAUGAGAACCUUUGAGUUUGGCCUGUCA